GUGGGGAAUCUUGCGCAAUGGGCGAAAGCCUGACGCAGCCAUGCCGCGUGAAUGAUGAAGGUCUUAGGAUUGUAAAAUUCUUUCACCGGGGACGAUAAUGACGGUACCCGGAGAAGAAGCCCCGGCUAACUUCGUGCCAGCAGCCGCGGUAAUACGAAGGGGGCUAGCGUUGCUCGGAAUUACUGGGCGUAAAGGGCGCGUAGGCGGAUCGUUAAGUCAGGGGUGAAAUCCCAGAACUCAACUCUGGAACUGCCCUUGAUACUGGCGAUCUUGAGUGUGAGAGAGGUAUGUGGAACUCCGAGUGUAGAGGUGAAAUUCGUAGAUAUUCGGAAGAACACCAGUGGCGAAGGCGACAUACUGGCUCAUUACUGACGCUGAGGCGCGAAAGCGUGGGGAGCAAACAGGAUUAGAAACCCUUGUAGUCC
Molecule: ribosomal RNA, 425 nt
Filed under: uncultured bacterium
Lineage: Bacteria
Description: partial 16S ribosomal RNA
Rfam family: Bacterial small subunit ribosomal RNA
Source: RNAcentral